Molecule: ribosomal RNA, 519 nt
Filed under: uncultured eukaryote
Lineage: Eukaryota
Description: SSU rRNA
Rfam family: Eukaryotic small subunit ribosomal RNA
Source: RNAcentral
AGGGCACCACCAGGAGUGGAGCCUGCGGCUUAAUUUGACUCAACACGGGAAAACUCACCCGGCCCGGACACUGGAAGGAUUGACAGAUUGAGAGCUCUUUCUUGAUUCAGUGGGUGGUGGUGCAUGGCCGUUCUUAGUUGGUUGAGCGAUUUGUCUGGUUAAUUCCGAUAACGAACGAGACUCUAGCCUACUAAAUAGAUCGUCGGCUUACAAACGCCGAUGAGACUUCUUAGAGGGACAGGCGGCGAUUCAGCCGCACGAAACAGAACAAUAACAGGUCUGUGAUGCCCUUAGAUGUCCGGGGCCGCACGCGCGCUACACUGAAGUGAUCAGCGUGCAUUUUCAGCCUACUCUGCCAAGAGUGGGAAACCCAAUGAACCUUCUUCGUGAUUGGGAUAGGGGAUUGUAAUUAUUCCCCUUGAACGAGGAAUUCCCAGUAAGCGCGAGUCAUAAGCUCGCGUUGAUUACGUCCCUGCCCUUUGUACACACCGCCCGUCGCUACUACCGAUUGAAUGUUUU